AUACGGAAGGCAGCAGUGAGGAAUAUUGCGCAAUGGGGGAAACCCUGACGCAGCGACGCCGCGUGGGCGACGAAGGCCUUCGGGUCGUAAAGCCCUUUUGUCAGGGACGAGUGAGGACGGUACCUGGCGAAUAAGUCUCGGCUAACUACGUGCCAGCAGCCGCGGUAAAACGUAGGAGGCGAGCGUUAUCCGGAUUCACUGGGCGUAAAGCGCGCGUAGGCGGUUUGUUAAGUCGGAUGUGAAAGCCCCUGGCUCAACUGGGGGAGGUCAUUCGAUACUGGCAGGCUUGAGGGUGAGAGAGGGGAGUGGAAUUCCCGGUGUAGCGGUGGAAUGCGUAGAGAUCGGGAGGAACACCAGUGGCGAAGGCGGCUCCCUGGCUCACUCCUGACGCUGAGAGCGCGAAAGCGUGGGGAGCAAACGGGAUUAGAUACCCCGGU
This 437-nucleotide ribosomal RNA is filed under the name uncultured bacterium. RNAcentral describes it as "bacterial SSU rRNA". It matches the Rfam family "Bacterial small subunit ribosomal RNA", at positions 339 to 791 of the family's 1533-position model. The record is from RNAcentral.